RNAcentral lists this transfer RNA (74 nucleotides) under Fidelibacterota bacterium. Its description in RNAcentral is "tRNA-Arg". It matches the Rfam family "tRNA". From Rfam's summary of the family: Transfer RNA (tRNA) molecules are approximately 80 nucleotides in length. Their secondary structure includes four short double-helical elements and three loops (D, anti-codon, and T loops). The record is from RNAcentral. Lineage: Bacteria; Pseudomonadati; Fidelibacterota.
GCGCCCGUAGCUCAGCUGGAUAGAGCGCAUGCCUCCGGAGCAUGAGGUCGGAGGUUCGAAUCCUCUCGGGCGUA